AUGAACGCUGGCGGCGUGCCUAAUACAUGCAAGUCGAGCGAACGGACGAGAAGCUUGCUUUUCUGAUGUUAGCGGCGGACGGGUGAGUAACACGUGGAUAACCUACCUAUAAGACUGGGAUAACUUCGGGAAACCGGAGCUAAUACCGGAUAAUAUUUUGAACCGCAUGGUUCAUAAGUGAAAGACGGUCUUGCUGUCACUUAUAGAUGGAUCCGCGCUGCAUUAGCUAGUUGGUAAGGUAACGGCUUACCAAGGCAACGAUGCAUAGCCGACCUGAGAGGGUGAUCAGCCACACUGGAACUGAGACACAGUCCAGACUCCUACGGGAGGCAGCAGUAGGGAAUCUUCCGCAAUGGGCGAAAGCCUGACGGAGCAACGCCGCGUGAGUGAUGAAGGUCUUCGGAUCGUAAAACUCUGUUAUUAGGGAAGAACAUAUGUGUAAGUAACUGUGCACAUCUUGACGGUACCUAAUCAGAAAGCCACGGCUAACUACGUG
RNAcentral lists this ribosomal RNA (496 nucleotides) under uncultured bacterium. Its description in RNAcentral is "partial 16S ribosomal RNA". It matches the Rfam family "Bacterial small subunit ribosomal RNA", at positions 29 to 507 of the family's 1533-position model. The record is from RNAcentral.